UACGUAGGCAGCAAGCGUUGAUCGGAAUUACUGGGCGUAAAGGGCUCGCAGGCGGCCAACUAAGUCAGACGUGAAAUCCCUCGGCUUAACCGGGGAACUGCGUCUGAUACUGGAUGGCUUGAGGUUGGGAGAGGGAUGCGGAAUUCCAGGUGUAGCGGUGAAAUGCGUAGAUAUCUGGAGGAACACCGGUGGCGAAGGCGGCAUCCUGGACCAAUUCUGACGCUGAGGAGCGAAAGCCAGGGGAGCAAACGGG
RNAcentral lists this ribosomal RNA (253 nucleotides) under uncultured bacterium. RNAcentral describes it as "partial 16S ribosomal RNA". It matches the Rfam family "Bacterial small subunit ribosomal RNA", at positions 524 to 776 of the family's 1533-position model. The record is from RNAcentral.